UACACUUUCAACCAUUUCAAAAAUUUGUUAGAUCUGAAAUCAAGAGUUUUUUGUCAAAAUUCAUUUUGAUUUUUUUAGCAUCCAAACACCUCUUCCUUUUCUAAUUUCAAAUGAGAUUCAUUCUUUCUCCUUCAAAUUUCUAUAAACACUUAGCUCCUUUUUGCUCGAUUGAUCAUAUUUCAUGGAGAUCUUCGAAUUAAAGCCUCUGUUCGUGAGGGAGCGCCUAUGAGUAAGGAUAAGGGCAAGCAAAAAUUUGUGUAGGUUUGGGAAUAUAAGCGAGGAAACAACUGCUCGUGUGAGCAGCAUCAUGUAGCCUACAUUUCGACCCACAGCUCGUGUGAGCAUUGAUGUAAAGGAAAGGUUACUGUUGUUUGUAAAGGCACACUUCGUGUGAACUUUCCCGAGUAUCCGGUGUAAUUCUAGAUGGUUCAACGUGUAAAAAAAGGAAUGGAACGGUGACUUAAUGGAAAGGUUCAUGACUAUAUGAAAAGGUUGAUGCUUAUGUAAUGUAUCCUAUGAAAUUCUUGUUAUUAUAUAAAUGAGUUUAUGUGUUGUUGAUGAACCAAUUAACAUGUGAGUUCGAUGAUGCUUGAAUAGGCUUAUACUAAACUUAUGACAUUGGUAAUGGUUUAUGUUUAAUCUUUGAAUUGUAAUAUUGGAAUUAGUAAGCAAGCAAAUGGAAUGAAUCAUGACCGUAUGGUAACGAUAAUGAAUUAAAUGUUAUGUUUAUACAUGGUUGAUUUCAUAUGUAUCAUGAACAAGUAUAUUAACUUGUGAGUUUCACGGUGUUAUAUAGGCUUUUAUUAAGCUUAUGGUGUUGGUAAAGGUUUAUACUUAUUCUAUAAACUUCAUUAUUGAAAUGGUAAGUAAUGAUUUAAGUUUAUAUGAGCUUACUAAGAAUUCAUUGCUUACGUAGUUAUUUUCCUUGUUUUAUAGAUCAUCAGAAGGUUGAUUUGUUUGGAAGGUCGUCGAGGACCUACCACACUUUCCAGUAGACAAUUCGGUAGUUUUUUAAUAAUUUGGUUAAGGUUUAUAGUGACAUGUGUAGAGUGAUUUGUAGUGGUGUUAAUGGUGUUUGGCAUGUAUAAGCUGUGGAAAGAUAUGUUGGUUUGGUACACUUUGAUGCCUUACCAAGUUAUGUGAUUUUGGUUACUUUCAUGUGCUUGUUUAUAAGGUUAUCUUGGCAUGUGAAUGAUGGUUUGAAAAUGGUUACUUGUGACAAGUUUUAGUUCAUAUUUGAACUAGGUUAGUAUGUAUGGAAAUGACAAUAUUAACAUGUAUAAGAUGCUUUGUAAUGGUAAUUAGUGAGCGUGUAAAUGGUAAUUUGGCAUGUUAGUGCCUUGAUAUUUAUGUAUGGUUGAUGGACUUGUAAUGUUUGUUAUGUUAAGUCCCUUUGAUCACAUUAGGUAAUUGAUGGGCAUGGUCAUAUGGUAUGUUGAUGUUAGAUUGAAAAUGGUCUUUGUAAUGCAUUACAUAAUAAAAUUAGGUAUUCAUGCUUAAAAUAAGGCAAUAUUGACAUGUUUAGGUAAAUGGUGUUUAGAUGCAAAUAUGGUGCCUUUGAAUGACAUAUUAGUAAGGUAAAUUAGGUUUUUUUGAAAUGGUAUAAUUAUGCAAGUUUGAAUGGUGUUUGAACCCCUUGAAUGCACAUUUAAAUAGUUUUGAAAAGUUAUGUAUGAAAUGGUUUUGAAAUGGCUCACACGGGCGUGUGACAGAGCCAUGUGAGGCACACGGUUUGGCGACACGGCCGUGUGUCAUCUGAGGAUUUCUUAAGAUUCAAGUUAGUGAGUUAUACGACCUGGCACAUUGGCGUGUGACAUCGCCGUGUGACUCUACUCAGUGAGUUACACUGGUGAGGACACGACUAUGUGUCUCUUGUUCGAAAGUUAUAUGGCCUAGGGUGAUUCCACACGGCCUGUCUACACGGCCGUGUGACCCCUGUUUCCAAUUUUUGCAACACUUUCCUAAACUUUCUGAUUUGUUUCAAAUUAGUCUGGAAUUACUUCAAAGCUAUUUUUAAGGCCUAUAGGGCUCAAUUUAGGGAUAGAUGCAUGUGAUUGAAUGGAUUAUGGUAUGUUUAAUUUAUUUAUAUAUUGUGAUGUUAAAUGUUUCUGAUUAUACAGUAAUGCUCCAUAACCCUAAUUCGACGACGAAGACGGGUUAAGGGUAUUAUAUUUAGUGGUAUUAGAGCUAUAAUUUAGUCAGUUCUGGAACUAAACGUAGCAUGAAUAAAGUCUAGAAAUACAUGUCAUUAUAUAACCUAUGAUAGUGUGAUAUCUCUUAACUUAAAAUGAAUUACGUUUUUAUAUAGAUAAAGAUAUUUUCCAAUCGAGCUAAUUCUGAUGAUGCUAAAAGCAUUAUUAUAGUCUCUUAUCAAAAGGUUGCUAAUGAUGAGCAAAAAUUCAUAAAGGUUAGAGUAGAGGUUCAUAGUGUUUAUUUUAGUAAUGAAUGUUAUGUCUAUUGUGUAUAUAUGAGAAUCAAAUUUUGUGGCUUUACGACCUCCAUUCCUCUCAUCCUCAAAGUCUUAUACAACGGAAUAUUCACGAGAUUUAUGUUAAUUAAGUCUGUAAAAGAGGAACCAAAGAGUUCGGCGAUUGAAUGAGUAAUAAUAUGGUCAGAGCCGAGAGUUGGUUAGCAAAUACAGAGAGUUCUAAAUGAAAUAUUAGAUAUUUCUGAAGAACGUUGGGAUGUGCAAUGUUAUUGUUAAAAGAAAAAGUUAUUCACUGGUAAUCAAAUUUAUCUGGUAUGGUAUCUAAAGAAUAGGUUAGAGGUGUUACAAUGUGAAUCCAUUCCAUUAUACGAACUUAAACCUAAUGGGCAAACCUACCCAUAGUACGAACCCAUACUACAAGUGCGAAACCUUAUCUAGUGUGCGACCCCAUAUUGAAUAUGCGAACUCAACCUUUGUGCGAACCCUCCAUAGUGCAAACCCCAUCAUGUGUGAGCCCCUAUCAUGUGUGAACCUAAUCCUAACAUGUGAGCUCUAUAUUUUGCUGUGUGAGCUCAUAGGUUGUGCGAACCAUGUGUUAUGUGAUCUAGUAUAAUGUGCGAACCGUAAAAUUAUUUUGUGUUUUGCGAUCCUAUAUGUUACAUACAAACCUUAUAUCAAUUUGUACGAGCUUGUUUGUAUGUGCGAUUGUAUGUAAAGUACGAACCUAUGCUGUGUAAUUGCCAUGUGAUAUGCGAACUUAUGUUAAAAUGACAUGCAAACCCAUGCUAUGUUAUAUGCAAACCUAAGCUAUAUGAUAUGUGAACUUAUGCUAAAGUGACAUGUGAACCUAAGCUAUAUGAUAUGUGAACUUAUACUAAAGUGAUAUGCAAACCUAGGCUUUGUGAUGUGCGAACUAUAACUUAUGUGAGCUAUGACAUGAAUGCUAUGUGAAACAUGAUUAUAAGGGUAAGCUAUGUUGUAUGCAAGCUAAAUUACUUGUGAACCACGAUGUAUUAUGAAAUGUGAAUUGAGAAUUGUGUUAUAAUGUGCAAGCUCUGCUUAACUACGAGCCCAAUUAUAUUGAGUGUUGUGCAUGUGGAAAAUGAUAUGUUGGCAUUGUGAUCUCUUAGAACCAUUGGAUAUAGUUGGAAUGCCAAAGGAUUGUUAUUAAUUACCCUCAUUAUUGCGAUGAACAUUGUGGUCCAGAGAUGUGUUGGAGAGAUAAACAUUGUGGUCUAGAGAUGUGUUGGAGAGAUAAGGGAAUGUAAAGCAUAGCUCCAUUCACUGGAGAUGCUUAGGGCUCUAUGAGUCAACAGUGUUUGAGAGUGUGAGCAUUCGUGCUACACUUAUACUGGAGAUGCGUAAGGCUCUUUAAUUCAAAAGUGAGGCAUUGUAAGGAGAUCUAUUUAUGUAAUAUAUGGUGAUAGAGUCCCCUAUAUGUUUCAUAAUCACAAGAUGCCAAUUUAUCCUUAUUUGAAAUAUAUGAGUUAUGAUGCAGUAUGAACUAUUAUUUUGCUUGAACUUUUAUUUGGUAUGAAUUGUUGUUUCAUAUGAACUCUUGUUUAUUGCGAACUAAUAUUUUAUGCGAAUUGCUUACUCUAUGUGAACUGUUUAUUUUAUGGGAACUGUAAGUCGUGUGAGACACUAUUCCAUUCAAGUCAUAAUAUUAUGUGAAUUGUUAUUGUAUGCUUACUUCUAACACCGCUAAUGUAUUUAUUUGUAGUAUGUUUGAGCACUCACUAAGCUUUGAUAAGCUCACACUCUCUUUUUAAAACAUUAUAUACACUUAGUUUAUGAGGCUUUGGGGAAGUGAGUCAUCCAAGUGAUCCAUAACAAGGCUACACCUGGGUCUGUUGAUGUGUUUCCAAUCCAAGUGAGGAAGGCAAUGUGGGACCAAAUUAUGGGAUUUACUAUUAGGCAUAGCUAUAUUUAUCGGGUUGUAAUUAGACAUUAUGAACUCUUUAGUUAUUUGGUUUGAAACUUUUAUUACCAUUUUAGAUAGAUGAUUAAAUGGUGGAUUGUGAUUACAUGAUAAAUAGUAUGAAUAAUUGUUUAACUAAUUCGUAAGUACAGGUGAAAGAGUCGAUAGGCAUCGAGGUAAGUCCUAAAUGUUUAUGUAUGUUUUGGUAAAAAAUUAUAUGUUUGGAAUGCAUGGAUUGUACAAUAAAUCUAGUUACAUAAA
Gossypium arboreum is the source of this 4610-nucleotide long non-coding RNA. RefSeq lists it as uncharacterized. The record is from RefSeq and is a predicted model, not a curated record. The transcript has 3 exons. NCBI's taxonomy places the organism in Eukaryota, Viridiplantae, Streptophyta, Magnoliopsida, Malvales, Malvaceae.